CUACGGGAGGCAGCAGUGGGGAAUUUUGCACAAUGGGCGAAAGCCUGAUGCAGCGACGCCGCGUGAAGGAUGAAGGUCUUCGGAUUGUAAACUUCUUUUGUCGGGGACGAUAAUGACGGUACCCGAUGAAUAAGCCACGGCUAACUCUGUGCCAGCAGCCGCGGUAAGACAGAGGUGGCAAGCGUUGUUCGGAAUUACUGGGCUUAAAGGGCGCGUAGGCGUCCCGGUAAGUCAGAUGUGGAAGCUUCCCGCUUAACGGGGAAAUUGCAUCUGAUACUGUCGGGAUUGAGUCAGCAAGGGGAUGGCGGAAUUCCAGGUGUAGCGGUGAAAUGCGUAGAUAUCUGGAGGAAGGCCGGUGGCGAAGGCGGCCAUCUGGUGCUGAACCGACGCUGAGGCGCGAAAGCGUGGGGAGCAAACAGGAUUAGAUACCCGAGU
This 435-nucleotide ribosomal RNA is filed under the name uncultured bacterium. RNAcentral describes it as "bacterial SSU rRNA". It matches the Rfam family "Bacterial small subunit ribosomal RNA", at positions 339 to 791 of the family's 1533-position model. The record is from RNAcentral.